Molecule: long non-coding RNA, 1706 nt
Organism: Melopsittacus undulatus (budgerigar)
Lineage: Eukaryota; Metazoa; Chordata; Aves; Psittaciformes; Psittaculidae
Source: Ensembl
AUGGAAAGGAACCGCCGAACCCCAAGGAAGGCGACGAAGGGGGAAAGAACACCCAGAACCACAAUGAAGCCCCCCGCCGACGGCCCCGCUCCCCCUAAUGGCGUCUUCUUCCUCCUACGUCACGCGCCGCCCGGUCACGCGCACCACCCCGGCCGCCAAUGGAAGGGGUGGACGCGACAACGGAGAGAGGCUCCGCCCUUCACCGCUCCUCUCCCCUCUCCUCAGCGGCCCUUGGGCGGGGCCUUCGACAGAGCGAGGCGGAGUCGGGCGGCAGCUCUUCGUCCUGCUCCUCAGGCGGCCCCGGUGGCAGGAUGGUGCUCGGUUCGUUCAUGGUGCUGCGUGGGUGCUUGCACGGCCGCGGGAGCUGCUGUGCGAGCUGAAUGGAAGGAGAAGGUAAGAUCAGGCUCAGAUUAAGGUUGCCAGAGACAAUGGAAAUCAUUGCUCAAGAGGAGGAGGUGCUUGCGGGGCCCAGCAUGUUGAGGCUUUCCUGGAUAGCUAGUGACAAGUGCAUCUCCUGAGACACAGGGCUGUAUGGAAAGAAGUCUUGAAAACUGCUAGCAAAACAACUUCCUGUUCUUGUAGCUUUUUACUGUUUUCAACAAAAGCAGGUUCUGUACAUAUCUUCCAGAGAGAAAAAAGCUGAAGCUUAGAAAAGGAAACAGGAGAGACACCCUCUGUGAAGUCCAUAUGCUGAAUGCACCUGUAAACACUGGUUUCCUAACAGAGAGCACAGCAAAGCGUAAGGCACCAAAUUAAGCUCAGUCCUGCAAACUGUUUCUCCAAGGACCCUCUGCUGUGGUGCAGCCAGAAAAUGCAUCUUCCCACUGACAGUUGGCUGCUGUGAGUAACUGCUGUAUUCCAUCAUUUCUGUUUUCCUCUCACCAGGAGCCUCUGAUUACUGUUUGUUGUAUGAGAAGUCCUGUGCCUUCCAAAACUUCAGCUGCCAAUACUAAAUGAAAUUAAAAGGCCCAUCUCUCUGAGAACAGAAAAUUCUGUCACAGCUACCUGAAGCAUCGCAUUUCACUAUAAUCUGAUACCUAUGACUUACUAAGUCUGCAGGUUCACCAUUUGUGGAAGAUAUCAAGUUACUUUAUUUUAAUAGUGUUUACUUAUAUGCGAAUUGUGUAUUUUAUUUCAACGUAUUUGAGAAGACAACGCCUCUUUCAUUUAACUUUGUGUACUUCCUCUUUUUACAUAGCUUCCUAAAAAUACUUUUACAGACCUCCUGUUUUAAAUAUGUUGCUGAUGAUAUCUGCAUGAAAAAUGCCUUUUGAGACAUAAUUUCUAUUUCACAAAUAAACUACAAUACCCUACAAGUUAUUAUAUCAAACCAAAUUGUGCCAUUGUAUCCAUUGCCAUUACUUUUUAUCAUUCUUGGUAAGACUCUACUCCAGCUUUUUACUUCACAGGCAACAUCAUCUCUGAAAGUGAAAAUCAUAUGCUUCUUUCAGCUUGCAUUAUUAGGUGUCCUUAUAAAAGUAUGAUAUGUUUUAAUUCCACUGUAAACUUAAAUGCUUGUAGUAGCUGUAUGGAGGAGAUACCCUAGUUGGUCAAACCUACAACUUCAACACCUCCUGUGCCAUUGGCAACACACAACUGAUUUCUGGGAUAAUUACAGGUUUCCUGUAAAUUAUAAAGGUGGCAGUUGUUUUGCAGAUAGUGUCACUCUUAUAUUUGCAUUUUUUGCCUUGGAAUGUAGUUCUGAG